UUCAGAGUACACUACCCCUUCCAUUUACCGGCGAUUGGUUUCCCCUAUCAGUUUCACUUGAAGCCUACUACUUUAAGCCCACUUUUGAGAAGGAAUCCCAAACACGCCCCGGUCAGUUUUCUGAAACCCUAAUUUUUCUAUUUAUGGUGAACGGGAUACUGUAAUGGAUGAAUUGAGGGAAACGGGAGUAGAGGAAGAGUAUCAGAUUCAGUUGGCGUUCAGUGCUAAGGAGGAUUUGAAGGGUAUUCAGAUUGAAGUUGUUAAUUAGAUCAGUUUGGGUUCUGUUCUGGAGAAUAAUCCGGCUAAAUUCGUUGUGUGUUCGUUAUUGGGCUUGUAUAUUGAUUGUGAAACCAUCCGCGAUAGUGCUUCUUCCUAAACGAUUAUGUGAUCCCGAUUUUAUCUUAUUCUUCUUCUUUGAUUCUCCUGAUUGCAACUGCAGCAAGAUGAAAUUUAUGGUAUCAAGUUCGCUAACCAAGGCCUGUAACAAUUCAAUAUUACUUCUACAUCAUCAAGGAUGCGGGAAAGUUGCGGUGUUGCAUCUUGUUCUAUAAGAUUUGUUAAAAGAGUAUCCUCUCAUGAUCUUUUUGGGUUACCUUGCAAUCAAGGAGAAGAUACAAGAAAGAAGAACAGAACUUCAAAAGUAAAAGUAAAGCUGAAGAUCAGAGAGGAAAACCAAGAAGUGAAGAAAAAGUGAAAAACCAUUGCGGGGAAAUCAAAGGGACAGAGAACAAAAGGUAUCUAAAACCUCUUUUAGUCAAAGAUCGUGCAAAAAGAUGACAAAUUCAUCCACACCUUGUAUCCUGAAGAAGGUAUAUAUAUGGUGAAGUUUGAGCCGGGUUGACUUGAAGAAGAACAAGAAUUU
This 862-nucleotide long non-coding RNA is filed under the name Helianthus annuus (common sunflower). RNAcentral's name for it is "hypothetical non coding rna". Lineage: Eukaryota; Viridiplantae; Streptophyta; Magnoliopsida; Asterales; Asteraceae. The record is from RNAcentral.